AUUGAACGCUGGCGGCAGGCCUAACACAUGCAAGUCGAACGGCAGCACGGGUGCUUGCACCUGGUGGCGAGUGGCGAACGGGUGAGUAAUACAUCGGAACGUGCCCAAUCGUGGGGGAUAACGUAGCGAAAGUUACGCUAAUACCGCAUACGAUCUACGGAUGAAAGCGGGGGAUCGCAAGACCUCGCGCGAAUGGAGCGGCCGAUGUCAGAUUAGGUAGUUGGUGGGGUAAAGGCUCACCAAGCCAAUGAUCUGUAGCUGGUCUGAGAGGACGACCAGCCACACUGGAACUGAGACACGGUCCAGACUCCUACGGGAGGCAGCAGUAAGGAAUAUUGGACAAUGGACGCAAGUCUGAUCCAGCCAUGCCGCGUGAAGGAUUAAGGUCCUCUGGAUUGUAAACUUCUUUUAUUAAGGGACGAAAAAAGGUACUUUCUAGAUCGUCUGACGGUACCUUAUGAAUAAGCACCGGCUAACUCCGUGCCAGCAG
This 490-nucleotide ribosomal RNA is filed under the name uncultured bacterium. RNAcentral describes it as "bacterial SSU rRNA". It matches the Rfam family "Bacterial small subunit ribosomal RNA", at positions 30 to 514 of the family's 1533-position model. The record is from RNAcentral.